GUAGGGAGCAAGCGUUGUCCGGAUUUACUGGGUGUAAAGGGUGCGUAGGCGGCUUUGCAAGUCAGAUGUGAAAUCUAUGGGCUCAACCCAUAAACUGCAUUUGAAACUGUAGAGCUUGAGUGAAGUAGAGGCAGGCGGAAUUCCCCGUGUAGCGGUGAAAUGCGUAGAGAUGGGGAGGAACACCAGUGGCGAAGGCGGCCUGCUGGGCUUUAACUGACGCUGAGGCACGAAAGCGUGGGUAGCAAACAGGAUUAGAUACCCUGGUAGUCCACGCUGUAAACGAUGAUUACUAGGUGUGGGGGGUCUGACCCCUUCCGUGCCGGAGUUAACACAAUAAGUAAUCCACCUGGGGAGUACGGCCGCAAGGUUG
This 370-nucleotide ribosomal RNA is filed under the name uncultured bacterium. Its description in RNAcentral is "bacterial SSU rRNA". It matches the Rfam family "Bacterial small subunit ribosomal RNA", at positions 527 to 896 of the family's 1533-position model. The record is from RNAcentral.